GACGGAGGGGGCAAGCGUUAUUCGGAAUCAUUGGGCGUAAAGGGCGCGUAGGCGGCUUGGCAAGUCCAAGGUGAAAUCCCUCGGCCUAACCGAGGAACUGCCUUUGAUACUGCUUGGCUUGAGGCCGGGAGAUGGUAGCGGAAUUCCCAGUGUAGCGGUGAACUGCGUAGAUAUUGGGAGGAACACCAGUGGCGAAGGCGGCUACCUGGACUGGUUCUGCCGCUGAGGCGCAAAAGCGUCGGGAGCCAACAGG
This 253-nucleotide ribosomal RNA is filed under the name uncultured bacterium. RNAcentral's name for it is "partial 16S ribosomal RNA". It matches the Rfam family "Bacterial small subunit ribosomal RNA", at positions 524 to 776 of the family's 1533-position model. The record is from RNAcentral.